CGGGACGGGUGAGUAACGCGUGGGUAACCUGCCGUAUGCAGGGGGAUAACACUUAGAAAUAGGUGCUAACACCGCAUAAGCGCACGAGAGCGCAUGCUUUUGUGUGAAAAACUACCGGUGGCAUACGAUGGACCCGCGUCUGAUUAGCCAGUUGGCAGGGUAACGGCCUACCAAAGCGACGAUCAGUAGCCGGCCUGAGAGGGCGGACGGCCACAUUGGGACUGAGACACGGCCCAAACUCCUACGGGAGGCAGCAG
RNAcentral lists this ribosomal RNA (257 nucleotides) under uncultured bacterium. RNAcentral's name for it is "partial 16S ribosomal RNA". It matches the Rfam family "Bacterial small subunit ribosomal RNA", at positions 98 to 354 of the family's 1533-position model. The record is from RNAcentral.